AUGAAAGGAAAACUGGCAUUUAAAGCCCAAGAAUUGCUUGCCCCCAAGUUUUGGAGGGGGACCGAAGACUCGUCACCCACCUGCGGGUGCAUGAAGGGUGCUGGCUUUCCAUCUCUGUUCCCUUGGUCUUGUGAAGGGUUGGAAGAGAGUUUUGCCACCCAUCACCCGGAACAAGAGGAUGGUUUGGAAAUGGCUGGGCGCUGUGCUGCUGCUCCCCGUGCAGAUGCUUUACCUGGUGCUGAAAGCCGCCGUUUGUGCUCUGCUGCCACCCAAACUACGGGACCUGUCUGGGGACACCGUGCUGGUGACAGGUGGGGGACGUGGCAUCGGCCGCCAACUGGCCCGGGAAUUUGCCAGGCGAGGAGCCAGGAAGGAGAGCAGAAGACUCAAAGGGUUUGCAUGCCUGAGUGCUGGAUGAGGUAA
This is a long non-coding RNA of Meleagris gallopavo (turkey), 423 nucleotides long. The record is from Ensembl. Lineage: Eukaryota; Metazoa; Chordata; Aves; Galliformes; Phasianidae.